This 941-nucleotide ribosomal RNA is filed under the name uncultured bacterium. RNAcentral's name for it is "bacterial SSU rRNA". It matches the Rfam family "Bacterial small subunit ribosomal RNA", at positions 88 to 1012 of the family's 1533-position model. The record is from RNAcentral.
AAAGCGAGCGGCGGAUGGGUGAGUAACACGUGGGGAACCUGCCCCUAAGUCUGGGAUACCAUUUGGAAACAGGUGCUAAUACCGGAUAAUAAAGCAGAUCGCAUGAUCAGCUUUUGAAAGGCGGCGUAAGCUGUCGCUAAGGGAUGGCCCCGCGGUGCAUUAGCUAGUUGGUAAGGUAACGGCUUACCAAGGCGACGAUGCAUAGCCGAGUUGAGAGACUGAUCGGCCACAUUGGGACUGAGACACGGCCCAAACUCCUACGGGAGGCAGCAGUAGGGAAUCUUCCACAAUGGACGCAAGUCUGAUGGAGCAACGCCGCGUGAGUGAAGAAGGUUUUCGGAUCGUAAAGCUCUGUUGUUGGUGAAGAAGGAUAGAGGUAGUAACUGGCCUUUAUUUGACGGUAAUCAACCAGAAAGUCACGGCUAACUACGUGCCAGCAGCCGCGGUAAUACGUAGGUGGCAAGCGUUGUCCGGAUUUAUUGGGCGUAAAGCGAGCGCAGGCGGAAAAAUAAGUCUAAUGUGAAAGCCCUCGGCUUAACCGAGGAACUGCAUCGGAAACUGUUUUUCUUGAGUGCAGAAGAGGAGAGUGGAACUCCAUGUGUAGCGGUGGAAUGCGUAGAUAUAUGGAAGAACACCAGUGGCGAAGGCGGCUCUCUGGUCUGCAACUGACGCUGAGGCUCGAAAGCAUGGGUAGCGAACAGGAUUAGAUACCCUGGUAGUCCAUGCCGUAAACGAUGAGUGCUAAGUGUUGGGAGGUUUCCGCCUCUCAGUGCUGCAGCUAACGCAUUAAGCACUCCGCCUGGGGAGUACGAACCGCAAGGUUGAAACUCAAAGGAAUUGACGGGGGCCCGCACAAGCGGUGGAGCAUGUGGUUUUAAUUCGAAGCACCCCGAAAAACCUUACCAGGUCUUGACAUCUAGUGCAAUCUGUAGAAAUACGGA